AAGUAAGAAGCAAACAUUGCAAUCAGUUUCGACCUGAUCUUAGAUAAUUUAAAUUAUCCUUACUUU
Molecule: transfer RNA, 66 nt
Filed under: Procapritermes sp. A TB-2017
Lineage: Eukaryota; Metazoa; Arthropoda; Insecta; Blattodea; Termitidae
Description: tRNA-Arg
Source: RNAcentral